GUGGGGAAUUUUGGACAAUGGGCGCAAGCCUGAUCCAGCAAUGCCGCGUGUGUGAAGAAGGCCUUCGGGUUGUAAAGCACUUUUGGCAGGAAAGAAAUAGUGCGUGCUAAUACCAUGCGCGAAUGACGGUACCUGCAGAAUAAGCACCGGCUAACUACGUGCCAGCAGCCGCGGUAAGACGUAGGGUGCAAGCGUUAAUCGGAAUUACUGGGCGUAAAGCGUGCGCAGGCGGUUUUGUAAGACAGGUGUGAAAUCCCCGGGCUCAACCUGGGAACUGCACUUGUGACUGCAAGGCUAGAGUGUGUCAGAGGGAGGUGGAAUUCCGCGUGUAGCAGUGAAAUGCGUAGAGAUGCGGAGGAACACCGAUGGCGAAGGCAGCCUCCUGGGAUAACACUGACGCUCAGGCACGAAAGUGUGGGGAGCAAACAGGAUUAGAUACCCCAGUAGUCC
Molecule: ribosomal RNA, 450 nt
Filed under: uncultured bacterium
Lineage: Bacteria
Description: partial 16S ribosomal RNA
Rfam family: Bacterial small subunit ribosomal RNA
Source: RNAcentral